UUGGAGGGCAAGUCUGGUGCCAGCAGCCGCGGUAAUUCCAGCUCCAAUAGCGUAUAUUAAAGUUGUUGCAGUUAAAAAGCUCGUAGUUGAACUUCGGGAUCAAUGGGUCGGUCGUGCCCUCGGUACGUACUGGCUUUAUUGGUUCUCACCUUCUAAUGAACCAUAAUGUCAUUCAUUUGAUGUUAUGGGGAAUUAGGACUGUUACCUUGAAAAAAUUAGAGUGUUUAAAGCAGGCUAACGCUUGAAUACAUUAGCAUGGAAUAAUGAAAUAGGACAUCGCAUUCUAUUUUGUUGGUUUCUAGGAUCGAUGUAAUGAUUAAUAGGGAUAGUUGGG
RNAcentral lists this ribosomal RNA (334 nucleotides) under Glomus sp. Its description in RNAcentral is "SSU rRNA". It matches the Rfam family "Eukaryotic small subunit ribosomal RNA", at positions 548 to 886 of the family's 1831-position model. The record is from RNAcentral. Lineage: Eukaryota; Fungi; Glomeromycota; Glomeromycetes; Glomerales; Glomeraceae.